This 1899-nucleotide ribosomal RNA is filed under the name human gut metagenome. Its description in RNAcentral is "bacterial LSU rRNA". It matches the Rfam family "Bacterial large subunit ribosomal RNA", at positions 1 to 1991 of the family's 2925-position model. The record is from RNAcentral.
UAAAGCUAAUAAGAGCGCAGGGCGAAUGCCUUGGCAUUGGGAGCCGAUGAAGGACGUGAUUAACUGCGAUAAGCUACGGGGAGCGGUAAGUACGCUUUGAUCCGUAGAUUUCCGAAUGGAGCAAUCCAUACAAGUGUAGCUUGUAUAUCAUAUACUGAAUAAAAUAGGUAUAUGAGGGGAACCGCCUGAACUGAAACAUCUAAGUAGGGCGAGGAAGAGAAAUCAACCGAGAUUUUCUGAGUAGUGGCGAGCGAAAGGGAAAGAGGCCAAACCAGAGAGAGCAAUCUUUCUGGGGUUUAGGACUGCAAAAAGCAUUGAAGAUCUUUAACCGAACACAAUGGGAAGUGUGAUCAGAGAGCGUGAGAAUCGCGUAGGUGAAAAAGAGAAUCAGCCGGCAGGAUCCAGAGUACCGCGGGACACGUGAAACCCCGUGGGAAGAAGGGGGGACCACCCUCCAAGCCUAAAUACUACCCAAUGACCGAUAGAGAAUAAGUACUGUGAAGGAAAGGUGAAAAGCACCCCGGGAGGGGAGUGAAAGAGAACCUGAAACCCUGUGCUUACAAGCACAUAGAGCACGUCAAAGUGUGAUAAGGUACCUAUUGUAGAAUGGUCCGGCGAGUUAUUGUAUGCAGCGAGGUUAAGUAGUUCAGCUACGGAGUCGAAGUGAGAGCGAGUGUUAACAGCACGUUCAGUUGCAUGCAAUAGACCCGAAACCGGGUGACCUAUCCAUGUCCAGGAUGAAGUGAGGGUAAAACCUCAUGGAGGUCCGAACCCACUCCCGUUGAAAUGGUAGGGGAUGAGGUGUGGAUAGCGGAGAAAUUCCAAUCGAACCCGGAUAUAGCUGGUUCUCCCCGAAAUAGUUUUAGGACUAGCCUCGUGAUCAAGAUUAUCGGAGGUAAAGCACUGAAUGGCCUAGGGGUCGAGAGAUUACCGAAGCCUAUCAAACUCUGAAUGCCGAAUAAUCAUGCACGGGAGUCAGACUAUGUGAGAUAAGUUUCAUAGUCGAAAGGGAAACAGCCCAGACCUACAGCUAAGGUCCCAAAGUACGUUUAAGUGGAAAACGAUGUGAAAUUGCGUAGACAACCAGGAUGUUGGCUUAGAAGCAGCCAUACAUUAAAAGAGUGCGUAAUAGCUCACUGGUCGAGUGACUUUGCGCGGAAAAUUUAACGGGGCUAAAACGUACACCGAAGCUUAGGCUUGCAACUAUGUUGCAGGGGUAGGGGAGCGUUGAAUGAGGGGUGAAGUCGUAGCGAAAGCGACGGUGGACUUCAUUCAAGUGAGAAUGCCGGAAUGAGUAGCGAGAAUUAUGUGAGAAUCAUAAUGGCCGAAAGCCUAAGGUUUUUGGAGGAAGGUUCGUCCGCUCCAAGUAAGUCGGAAGCUAAGGUGAGGCUGAAAAGCGUAGCCGAUGCACAAACGGUUGAAAUUCCGUUACCACAGAAAGAUUUAAACUAAGGGACACUUUUGAAGAGCUGAUGCCGGGUGUUGGUUACCCCGGUCGUAAGGGAACGAAAUUAAGUAGUGAAGUCAGCGUGGAUGAAGGCGAGAAAAGCUUAGUGUAUAUCUUAUGUGUCCGUACCGCAAACCGACACAGGUAGGUAGGAAGAGAAUUCUAAGGCCAACGGGAGAAGGGUAGUUAAGGAACUCGGCAAAAUGUCCCCGUAACUUCGGAAUAAGGGGAGGUUUCUACGGAAACCCGCAGAGAAUAGUCCCAGGCAACUGUUUAUCAAAAACACAGCUCUAUGCUAAAUCGAAAGAUGACGUAUAUGGGGUGACGCCUGCCCGGUGCCGGAAGGUUAAGAGGAGGAGUGAGAGCCCUGAAUCGAAGCCCCGGUAAACGGCGGCCGUAACUAUAACGGUCCUAAGGUAGCGAAAUUCCUUGUCAGGUAAGUUCUGACCCGC